Molecule: ribosomal RNA, 305 nt
Filed under: uncultured bacterium
Lineage: Bacteria
Description: bacterial SSU rRNA
Rfam family: Bacterial small subunit ribosomal RNA
Source: RNAcentral
CCCCUACGGGACGCAGCAGGGAAUAUUGCUCAAUGGGGGAAACCCUGAAGCAGCAACGCCGCGUGGAGGAUGAAGGUUUUCGGAUUGUAAACUCCUCUUGUUAGAGAAGAUAAUGACGGUAUCUAACGAAUAAGCACCGGCUAACUCCGUGCCAGCAGCCGCGGUAAUACGGAGGGUGCAAGCGUUACUCGGAAUCACUGGGCGUAAAGAGCGCGUAGGCGGGAUAGCAAGUCAGAUGUGAAAUCCUAUGGCUUAACCAUAGAACUGCAUUUGAAACUGUUAUUCUAGAGUAUGGGAGAGGUAGG